UUAUUUCCUAAAUCACCCUCAUUUUUCAUGUUAAAAAUGAAUGUUAAGGAUAAUUUGGAUAACUCAGCCAUUUUAGACUCAUUAAUUUCAAAACACUCCCUAUUAAUUAGCAGGCCUAUUUUUGUCUCCAGAUAUCCCCCAAAACAUUUGCAACGAAACAUUUUUCAUUCUUUUCAGACACUUGCCAAGAUAAGUUUGAUUGUACUAUUUUCCCCUGAGUUUUCAAAAAGAUGUCUUAUUUCUUACUAAACUUCUUUGUUAAAGCAGAGAUUUUUAUGUCAUUAUUUCAUAUUCAAAUCAAUCAUUAAAGUUGUCAUUGUAGGAAAAGGAUAGAUACUGAGAUCUGAGCUCUUCUAACUCCCUGUCUUGAUCAUUUGGCUAAUGCUCAUCCAAAAGAAAGAUUAUUUAUGUUUUAGAGACAAACAUUUAAAUGAACCAAUUAUGAGCAAUAUCUAAAUCUAAAGUUUAGCUAAGGACGCAUACAUGCACACAUACUCACAUAUAAAUACAUGUUUAUACUCUUUGAAUGGUGACAUAAAAACUGAAAAUUGAAGAGGAUUCCAUCAUUAGGUGAAUGAUUUGACAAUUUGAUAUAUUAAUGUGGUAGAAUAACAGUGUGCUUUUAGAAAUGAUAGAGAUGGUUUCAGAGAAAUUUAGGAAGACUUGUUUGAAUCUGAUGAAAAAUAAAGUGAGCAGUUAUAGAAAAACAAUUCAUAAAAUAACUAAGUUCAUAACCAGCUCUAACAUGUUAAUACAGAAUUAUAAUUACUUUUCUUUCUUCAUCACCAGGGGCAGCUGGAUGGAGUGUAGGCUUCAAAUCGGGGAGACAACUUCAAAUCCAUCCUCAGGCUGUGGGUCAAAAUCAAAUGUACACCAUGGGAGUGGAGCCAAGAUGGUACAGUUAUCCUCAGAAGUGCUGUGCCACCAUGAGAAUCCUCUCCAUCCAUAA
This 949-nucleotide long non-coding RNA is filed under the name Monodelphis domestica (gray short-tailed opossum). RNAcentral's name for it is "lncRNA (ENSMODG00000049360.1)". Lineage: Eukaryota; Metazoa; Chordata; Mammalia; Didelphimorphia; Didelphidae. The record is from RNAcentral.